GGGGGCGGAGGGCGCUGGGCGUGGCUGAGGCUCCCCAGAGAAAAGCCGGUCUUCGGGCCGGGGAGACAGAGUGGGUGCCGGCACCCGGUCAGCAGUUGUCAGGCGCCACACUGGAGAGCACGGCGUGCGGUUGGGCAGGCUGUGUGCUCGGCCUCCCGACCCCAGCGCCCCCCGUGGGAGCGGGUCCGCUCCGCCCGCACUGCGGCCCUGGUCCGCGGGGCAGCGCCCCCUGGUGGGGUCGAGGCGAAGUUCACCUCUCAAGUGGGUGACUCCAUGGAUACGGAAUGUGCAGGAGAAAGAGCCAGGCAUGCGGAAGCCGAGUGGGAGACCGUCUGGGGCAUAUCUGCAUUUCCGGGGUGAUGAAGGCUCUGCGAGCAGGCAGCGGGGAGCUUAUGGAGCCUCAUGAACAGAGUGGAAAAGCUCUAAGUUUCACACUGUAAAAGGAUAAACGUUAUGUAUCCUGUGUUUCCUUAAAACUGUUCUAUAAACUAUGUAAUCCUAUGGAUAUGCUUGUAUAAGUAUUCAGAGAUGGAAAUUAAUAUUACACACCAAUUGCUAUUUAUAAAAAAGCCUAGAAACAAAAUACCCACAAAUAAUAUCUGCA
RNAcentral lists this long non-coding RNA (604 nucleotides) under Heterocephalus glaber (naked mole-rat). RNAcentral's name for it is "lncRNA (ENSHGLG00000034747.1)". The record is from RNAcentral. Lineage: Eukaryota; Metazoa; Chordata; Mammalia; Rodentia; Bathyergidae.